Bison bison bison is the source of this 99-nucleotide ribosomal RNA. Lineage: Eukaryota; Metazoa; Chordata; Mammalia; Artiodactyla; Bovidae. The record is from Ensembl.
GUCUACGGCUAUGCCACCCUGAAUGCAUCUGAUCGCGGAAGCUAAGCAGGGUUGGGCCCGGUUAGUACUUGGGUGAGAGAAGCCACUUAAUUGUAGCAG